AGUGAACGCUGGCGGUAGGCCUAACACACGCAAGUCGAACGGCAGCACAGUAAGAGCUUGCUCUUACGGGUGGCGAGUGGCGGACGGGUGAGGAAUACAUCGGAAUCUACUUUUUCGUGGGGGAUAACGUAGGGAAACUUACGCUAAUACCGCAUACGACCUACGGGUGAAAGCAGGGGAUCUUCGGACCUUGCGCGAUUGAAUGAGCCGAUGUCGGAUUAGCUAGUUGGCGGGGUAAAGGCCCGCCAAGGCGACGAUCCGUAGCUGGUCUGAGAGGAUGAUCAGCCACACUGGAACUGAGACACGGUCCAGACUCCUACGGGAGGCAGCAGUGGGGAAUAUUGGACAAUGGGCGCAAGCCUGAUCCAGCCAUACCGCGUGGGUGAAGAAGGCCUUCGGGUUGUAAAGCCCUUUUGUUGGGAAAGAAAAGCAGAAGGUUAAUACCCCGCUGUUCUGACGGUACCCAAAGAAUAAGCACCGGCUAACUUCGUG
RNAcentral lists this ribosomal RNA (492 nucleotides) under uncultured bacterium. Its description in RNAcentral is "partial 16S ribosomal RNA". It matches the Rfam family "Bacterial small subunit ribosomal RNA", at positions 29 to 507 of the family's 1533-position model. The record is from RNAcentral.